GCAGUGGGUUGGAGUUACAUUGGUAACUUUGCUCUAAAUUUCCCCUUUAAUGGAAAAAAAUAUGGAUGGAAGGCAGAGGAGCAUAAAUCUUGCAAGUUGCUUUUCCAACAGCAGCCAGAACCAGCCCCAAAUGAAGACACUGUAUGCUGCUGGCGGCUAUGCUCUCUGAACGCUGAUUUCAACAAGCAAUCACCAGCCAGAGAAGUAUUAGAAGAAUUCCCCGAAGCUGGUUCUUAAGAAAAAUAGCUCAUUCAUCAUUUAAAUGCCCCGAGGCUGUCAGCAAAUUUGGACUCUCCAUUCCUUCCUCCAAGGGAUGAAAUCAUGAGCAAUAGAAUUCAUCAGUGACCUUCUACCAUACUGUCAUCAUGGCCUUUUGAAGAUAGCUGGGUCAUGCCUAGGUUUGCAAACACCGUACUGCAGCACCGCGUCCUACGUCCCAGCUAUAAGCGUCAGGACGCUUGGUUCAAGCGCCCCUCAUUCUUCGCAGCCCUGGUCGCUUAUAUAGGCUGCUUCCCAUUGCCUUGCUUCCCUUUAUUCAUUUCUAUAUUUCCGGUAGCCCUAAAAUAAAACAUCUUCUCAUUGGAGAAAACUUCCCUGUCUUUCCUAAGCGGAACUGGACACUUCCUUUUUGAUCUUUUCUUUUCUUCUUUUUUUGGUACCGGGAAUCAAACUCAGGACUUUAAGCUUGUGAGGUAGGUGUGGCGUCACUGAGCUGAAUUCCUGGCCCAUCUUGACCUCUUCUGUACACCUCAUUUUCUCAAGCAUCUCCUGAUCUUCACGCUGGUCUCUGGCUGCUUUGAGGCAUUUGUUUUAUGUGUGGGUGAUGAGUUCCUUGAGGAUGAAGAGUGCCUUUGAUUCAUCUUUUCAAAUCUAGAGCUUUCCUCACACCCUUCACCCUCAAACUUUCUCCCCAGCUUCUGCCGGGUAGAGCAACAGACACGCAGUAGGUGCUCAACUAAUGCCUAUUCAACUGAUGAGUGAAUACAGCCAUGCUUACAAUUGGUCUUGAAAGAGUUGGAGGAUGAAGGAAGUCUCUAAACUCUGUGAAGGGGAAGUGAAGGGUCUAAACUUCAGUUGUUGAAUUUCUGGGAAUUUACCUUCCACUUAUCUUUAUC
Fukomys damarensis (Damara mole-rat) is the source of this 1115-nucleotide long non-coding RNA. RefSeq lists it as uncharacterized. The transcript is spliced from 2 exons. NCBI's taxonomy places the organism in Eukaryota, Metazoa, Chordata, Mammalia, Rodentia, Bathyergidae. The record is from RefSeq and is a predicted model, not a curated record.